RNAcentral lists this ribosomal RNA (161 nucleotides) under uncultured bacterium. RNAcentral describes it as "partial 16S ribosomal RNA". It matches the Rfam family "Bacterial small subunit ribosomal RNA", at positions 349 to 507 of the family's 1533-position model. The record is from RNAcentral.
CAGCAGUCGGGAAUUUUGGGCAAUGGGGGAGACCCUGACCCAGCAACGCCGCGUGAGUGAAGAAGGCUUUCGGGUUGUAAAGCUCUGUUGCCCGGGAAGAAUGGGCAGGUGUGGAGCCUGCCGUGACGGUACCGGGUGAGGAAGCCCCGGCUAACUACGUG